Brassica oleracea var. oleracea is the source of this 1378-nucleotide long non-coding RNA. RefSeq lists it as uncharacterized. The record is from RefSeq and is a predicted model, not a curated record. The transcript is spliced from 3 exons. NCBI's taxonomy places the organism in Eukaryota, Viridiplantae, Streptophyta, Magnoliopsida, Brassicales, Brassicaceae.
AAAAUACAUAUCUUCUUUUUCGUUUUUUCUCCUCCAUCUCUCUAGCCUUCUACCUUCCGCUUAUGUCUUUGUUGCCGCUCCGGUGGCUUUCUUAAAACACCAGAACCGGUUUGCUCUUUUCUAUAAUUUGUUUUAUCUUAUUCUUAUGAUCUUAUCUCGAUGUACAAAAAAAAUUGUCUUUCGCAAGAACUUGGGUGAAUAAAAAAACUGGGAAAGCUUCGUGCUUGUGUGAAAAAGCUUUAGUGUCAUUGAUGUGUGUUAGGUGAUGACAUACUUGGUGAAGUACUUACGGAAAAUUUGGAAGACUGAAAUCUAAGUUCUAUGAUCAAAAGGGUAAGGACAAAAACAUGUCCAUGAGGAAUGACAAAAUUUGGAAUAUGAAUUGAUGGAGGCAUAACAAGAAGGAUGUCUAUGACAAAACCACCACGUCUUGACUCAACCAUUUAUGAAUAUUGGAAGGUAUGUUUGCAAGAUUUUAUCAUCUGUCUUGAUGAGAAUUGUUGAAAUUAUGUUGAGGUUGGUUGGCGUCAUCCGGUGAUAAUUGAUGAUAAGAAAGUGCUUAAGCUAAGAGAUCAAUGGAGCACAUCAAAGAAUAAAGCAUCAAGUGGCAAUUAUAAGACCAAGACUGCAAUUUAUAAUGCUAUCGAUGCAAGCUACUUUAGUGUAUUUCUCAAUGUGCAUAAGCUCAGAAGACAUUGAAGAUAUUGGAGAACAUGUUUGAAAGUACUACAAAUGUCAAACGAGUUAAGUUAGAUAUGAUAGUAUCUAAAUUAGAUAAUCUAAGUAUAGACGUAAAGAAAAUGUGGCUCAGUUUAAUGCUAAGUUGUGUGACAUAUCUAAUGAAUGUUUCGCGCUUGGAAAGCAGUACAAGGACAACUAAGUUGGUGAAGAAGCUGGAGAGAUUGUUUCCAUCAAAGCUUGAUUCAAAACUGCUUUUUAGUUGAGCAAGUCAUAUGGAGAUACUGAUAAGACGAAAAAAAACAUAUGGAAUCGCUUCACAAGAUUCAUCUUCUGAAGUUCAUAUGGUAAUGUUGUCAAGAAAUUUUGCUAAGUACCUGAAGCAAAAGGAAAGAAAGAAGGAGAAUGGAAGAGGAGGUGACUUGGGUAGUUCAUGAUCAAAGAUACAAUGCUUUGAGUGCAAUGGAUUUAGACAUAUUUGCUGUGAAUUUGUGAAUUUACAAAAGCAAAUGUAGAAGAGAAACGUCAAGAAUGAUUAUGGAAGUGAUUCAGAUGAUGGUGAGGAGCUAAAGAAUUUUGUGGCGUUCACAACUUUGGAGCCGAUUUCUCCAAAAACAUUUGUGUCGGGAUCUGCAUCUGAAAUGAUGAUAAUAUGGAUGGGAGUAUUGAUGAUGUUAAGUUUUCUGAGAAUUAUGAAAGA